GACGAACGCUGGCGGCGUGCUUAACACAUGCAAGUCGAACGGAAAGGCCCUGCUUUUGUGGGGUGCUCGAGUGGCGAACGGGUGAGUAACACGUGAGUAACCUGCCCUUGACUUUGGGAUAACUUCAGGAAACUGGGGCUAAUACUGGAUAGGAGCUCCUGCUGCAUGGUGGGGGUUGGAAAGUUUCGGCGGUUGGGGCUGGACUCGCGGCUUAUCAGCUUGUUGGUGGGGUAGUGGCUUACCAAGGCUUUGACGGGUAGCCGGCCUGAGAGGGUGACCGGCCACAUUGGGACUGAGAUACGGCCCAGACUCCUACGGGAGGCAGCAGUGGGGAAUAUUGCACAAUGGGCGGAAGCCAGAUGCAGCAACGCCGCGUGCGGGAUGACGGCCUUCGGGGUGUAAACCGCUUUCGCCUGUGACGAAGCGGGAGUGACGGUAAUGGGUAAAGAAGCACCGGCUAACUACGUG
RNAcentral lists this ribosomal RNA (468 nucleotides) under uncultured bacterium. Its description in RNAcentral is "partial 16S ribosomal RNA". It matches the Rfam family "Bacterial small subunit ribosomal RNA", at positions 28 to 507 of the family's 1533-position model. The record is from RNAcentral.